AUAAGAUUGUAGUAUCGCAUGAUAUAGCAAUUAAAGGAGCAAUUCGCUAUAAGAUGGACCCGCGUCGCAUUAGCUAGUUGGUGAGGUAAUGGCUCACCAAGGCGACGAUGCGUAGCCGACCUGAGAGGGUGAACGGCCACAUUGGGACUGAGACACGGCCCAGACUCCUACGGGAGGCAGCAUG
Molecule: ribosomal RNA, 184 nt
Filed under: uncultured bacterium
Lineage: Bacteria
Description: partial 16S ribosomal RNA
Rfam family: Bacterial small subunit ribosomal RNA
Source: RNAcentral